AAAGGCUGAGACUUGAUGCAUACCCGUUGUGGGGAAUUCAGUGAUCCUAUGCUGCCGAGAAAAGCCUCUAGUGAGUUCAUACACGGCCCGUACCCCAAACCGACACAGGUGAUCAGGUAGAGAAUACCAAGGCGAUCGAGAGAACUGUGGUUAAGGAACUCGGCAAAAUGCCCCCGUAACUUCGGGAGAAGGGGGACCAUGCCCGGUGAACAUCUUCACGGUGGGAGCUGGGUGUGGUCGCAGAGACCAGAGAGAAGCGACUGUUUACUAAAAACACAGGUCCGUGCGAAGACGUAAGUCGAUGUAUACGGACUGACGCCUGCCCGGUGCUGAAGGUUAAGAGGACCGGUUAGCCGUAAGGCGAAGCUGAGAAUUUAAGCCCCAGUAAACGGCGGUGGUAACUAUAACCAUCCUAAGGUAGCGAAAUUCCUUGUCGGGUAAGUUCCGACCUGCACGAAUGGCGUAACGACUUCUCUGCUGUCUCGACCACAGACUCGGCGAAAUUGCACUACGAGUAAAGAUGCUCGUUACGCGCGGCAGGACGAAAAGACCCCGGGACCUUUACUAUAGCUUGGUAUUGGCGUUCGAUUCGGUUUGUGUAGGAUAGGUGGGAGACUGUGAAGCAUGCACGCCAGUGUGUGUGGAGUCGUUGUUGAAAUACCACUCUGAUCGUAUUGGACGUCUAACCUCGGCCCAUGAUCUGGGUUAGGGACAGUGCCUGGUGGGUAGUUUAACUGGGGCGGUUGCCUCCUAAAGAGUAACGGAGGCGCCCAAAGGUUCCCUCAGCCUGGAUGGCAAUCAGGUGUUGAGUGCAAGUGCACAAGGGAGCUUGACUGUGAGACUGACACGUCGAGCAGGGACGAAAGUCGGGACUAGUGAUCCGGCACCGGCAAGUGGAAGCGGUGUCGCUCAACGGAUAAAAGGUACCCCGGGGAUAACAGGCUGAUCUUCCCCAAGAGUCCAUAUCGACGGGAUGGUUUGGCACCUCGAUGUCGGCUCGUCGCAUCCUGGGGCUGGAGUAGGUCCCAAGGGUUGGGCUGUUCGCCCAUUAAAGCGGCACGCGAGCUGGGUUUAGAACGUCGUGAGACAGUUCGGUCUCUAUCCGCCGCGCGCGUAAGAAACUUGAGGAAGGCUGUCCCUAGUACGAGAGGACCGGGACGGACGAACCUCUGGUGUGCCAGUUGUUCCACCAGGAGCAUGGCUGGUUAGCUACGUUCGGAAGGGAUAACCGCUGAAAGCAUCUAAGCGGGAAGCCUGUUCCAAGAUGAGGUUUCUCACCACCUUGCGUGGUUAAGGCCCCCUACAGACCAUGGGGUUGAUAGGCCGGAACUGGAAGCGCAGCAAUGCGUGGAGGUGACCGGUACUAAUAGGCCGAGGGCUU
RNAcentral lists this ribosomal RNA (1381 nucleotides) under metagenome. RNAcentral's name for it is "bacterial LSU rRNA". It matches the Rfam family "Bacterial large subunit ribosomal RNA", at positions 1551 to 2925 of the family's 2925-position model. The record is from RNAcentral.